This is a non-coding RNA of Manis javanica (Malayan pangolin), 2156 nucleotides long. Lineage: Eukaryota; Metazoa; Chordata; Mammalia; Pholidota; Manidae. The record is from RefSeq and is a predicted model, not a curated record.
GAGAGAGCGCAGUUCCGGCGCGUGGCCCUCUGCUCCGGAAGUGGUUCCCCUCAGUACCGCUCUUCGCGUCAGAGCCGGUCUCGCUUUUCCUAGGGCGUCGGCCGAAGCCACCUGCAGACAAGUUUUGGACGGAAGGGCCUCCCGUACGGGGUCCACGCAGCCGCGGUCCGGCUGGUGCGGUUAACGUGCCGACGGCGGCGGCCACCGCCCCUCCUGACCUGUCGUGGCCCGGCCGGCGACUUCGAGCCUCAGUAACGAGGUUGUGAAGAUGAGAAAAGAAGUGAAGAGAAUCCGAAUUUUUAUCUGAAAACUUGUCAAGAGUGUGAGCAGACUGGAGUCAAAAAAGGGUACUGAAGAUGCACUGUUAAAAAACCAGAGACGAGCACAACGAUUGCUUGAAGAAAUCCAUGCCAUGAAGGUUUUUAUUUCUACUGUAAUGUUAGCCAUAAAGUCUAAGAAGUUCAAGCAUUCAACAUUCAUGCUGUUUGGUAAUGUGGAUGGUGAUGUUGGAGGCUGACAUCAUGCUUUGCCUAUUGCCAACUCAAUAAAUUUUUGUGUGGUGGUGUCAGCAUUUUAUUCAGCUCUGUAGGAACUUGCAAUAAAAUUAGUGUUGGAUCAAAAUGAUCCAUAUUUUUGUUUCUUUCAGCCAGACUCUUCACUAGCAUAAUUUUUAGGUCUUCUCACUGCUGUUACUUUGUGGAAACUUUCAUUUACCAAGUGACAUACUAUUAAAUGUCUGCGAGACUGUUUUAUUGCAGAACUUAAACACAACAUUUGGUACCAACAGUUAUCUUAAUUGUAGGGUCAUUUUGCAUGUAUAUUUGACUAUUACGUUUUGGUAUACUAAGUUUUGAGAUAGCUAAGGAAGCAAGAUUAUUCCCCAGUAAUAUUUUAAUUGAGUUAGAUUAUCAAACUUCUCACCAUGUUUUCCUUUUGAAGAGAUAAUUAAAUGUUUUAUAUGACAAAAUUACCACAGUUAAUCUGAGUGGAAGUUGUAGGACAUGGUUUUUCUUUGGUGUGAGGUAUUUUCAUUUGUUUUAUUUUCACAAUACUGCCGAAUUCAUGGAAUCCAUUUGAUGCAUCAUUCUCAAAGCUCCAACCCCCUUCUUAUCCAGUCAUUCAGUAACAAUACCCUUUACUUGUCUUCUGAUUAUCAUUUGUGUCAAUUUGGGUUACACAUUAUUUAGGCUUUUUUGUAUACUGUCUUUUUCCCUAUGAAAUUCCUAUAGAAAUAAAGUCUUCAGAGACCUUUGUUCUGAGGACAACACUGAAACAGGAAUCACGAUUCACCCUUUUGCCUCUUACACUUUCUUUUAGCUGGGGCCCUCACUAAAUUACAUUCCUUUACCUAGAUUUUUCCAUAUAAUUUCUUCUGGAUAGUUUAUAAUCAUAGUCCUAAAUUAUCCAGAGGCUUUGAACUACUAUACAGUUGCUGAUUUUAUUUUAUCAUGGAAGGAUGCAUUAUGUAUAAUAAGGCUGUGUGCAGUGUGUGAAGAGUUUGAGAACAGAAGAUUCAUUACUCUUUAGAAUACUUUCCUUCUGUAACUCUCAGUAGUUGCCUUAAUUUAAUUAAUUAAAAAAGAAAAUCCAAUUUGAUCUGUAUAUGGAAGUUGUUUUUUCUUAUCCUUAAAUUUCAUCAGCAGUAAGAAAUCAGGCGCAGUCAUAGAGUUCAUAGGUUUAUAAGACCUUUAUGGAAAGGUUUUUAUUUUGUUGCCUCAUAGAAAGCUAAGAUUCAUAGUCUGUAUGUUCCUUGAAUUCAUAAAGUAAGUAGUGUAUAUAUUCUUUGAAUUUGUGGUAGUGGUUAGGGUAGUCUAGAUGGGUUGCUGUGACUUCAACACUUUUUGUAAUAUUAUUUGAAAAUUGCAUUAAGUUUAAAUGUAGAAACCAGAAUAAAAAGAAUACGAGGAAGACUGUGUUUGCUCUUGUUGCGUGUCAGAUUUCAUUUAUCAUUGGUGUUUCUUUUACAGAGUUGGUCUUCCUUUCUAAGAGAGGCAAAUAGAGCAUUUUUAAAAAUUGUUCCUUCUUAAUAAAUAUUUCAGAAGAUAGCCUUUGUAAUUUUUUAAGGAAGUGUUUAUCAUGUACAUGGGAAUAUCAAAGAAAUGGUCAAGAGACAGAAAACUCACAGUUUCAAUGAAAUUUGGAGAAAAACUUCUAUU